GGAGCUUCCAUUGAAUUUUAGACUAGAGCAACAGGAGCCAUUAGCCAACGCGAAUAUAUUGUGUUAUUACGACUCCGGUCGCUGCUGCCCUCUGAUGGCGCCCGCCAACGGGAAGCCGAUUCGAAUUAUUUCACUUGAGCAAAUAAUCCCUAUUUCUGAUGAAUAUAUUGCGCAAUAUUAUAAUUAUUAUAAUCCUCAUCAUCCGAUAGCAAAUUCAAUAUCGUUCAUUACCAAUUUGAAUACCAGCGCGUUCUAGAGUUCGAGAUAUCCUUGUUAUUCUGCGGUCGUUCAGUAUCCUCCUGCAACCAGCUGCAACGUAUAACAUACACAGUAUGUUGUGUUUGUGUGUGGUAAACCAGCAUAAUUCAAUGAAAGCUCAAAAAGAAAAUAAAAAAGCAUACCUCAAGCGAUACCUGUCCAAAGAUGUUAAUAAAAAGAAAAGAUGAAACCGAAGGUUAGACAAAAAGCAGUGCAGUUAAUAGAUGACAGAAUUCACUUUGAAAAGUUAACAUGGAUUACCGAUCACUGAUGAUGGAAUUACAGAUCUUAAUUCACCAAUAAAUUAUAAGCAUAAAAAAAACUUAAAUUAAUGAAAACUACAGCAAAAGAACAUCCAGUUCCAGGCAAAAUUCAAAGAAUUACGAUUCGGACUUGAGUCCGCCAAGACAAUCCAGACAUAAAGAAACAAAAUAACAACAGAAAAUGAUAAGAAUGGCCUUCAAAAUUUGAAAUCACUGAAAAAAAGAAGAGAAAGCACAGAAAAAACAUAAAUAAGCAUACUAACGAAUGUUUUUGAUUGUAGGUUAAAGCAAGUUUGUGAUCACAAAAGAGCACCAGAGUAUCCAACAAAUUCGUAUAUGCCAAACAGAUUUGGUAUCCGACUGGGAGAUCGUUGGGAUGGAGUUGACCGAAGCAAUGGUUAUGAAAAAAAAUUAAUAAAUGAAUAUUUUUGUAUAUUUUGUAAGACACUGAAAAGACUGAAUUUAUGCACACUUAGCUAUGACUUAUACAGAAACUGAAAAUAAAUUGGUGCACAUAAUCCAGUGGCUCACUUAAUAUUUCUCCCACAGAAAUAUGGAAAACUUGAUAUUACAUGUUGUAGUAAAACUACCUACUAAUGUUGCCUAGCAAAAUAAAAGUAUUAAGAUCAGGAA
Nasonia vitripennis (jewel wasp) is the source of this 1154-nucleotide long non-coding RNA. RefSeq lists it as uncharacterized. The record is from RefSeq and is a predicted model, not a curated record. NCBI's taxonomy places the organism in Eukaryota, Metazoa, Arthropoda, Insecta, Hymenoptera, Pteromalidae. The transcript has 3 exons.